Long non-coding RNA from Oryza brachyantha (malo sina), 1523 nucleotides. RefSeq lists it as uncharacterized. The transcript is spliced from 5 exons. NCBI's taxonomy places the organism in Eukaryota, Viridiplantae, Streptophyta, Magnoliopsida, Poales, Poaceae. The record is from RefSeq and is a predicted model, not a curated record.
CCGGACGGAGAGGCAGCCAAGCCCUGUCGCCCCCGCCCCGAUCGGCGGUGGCGGAGGUACACCUGUCGGGGUGCCCGCAGCAGCGGCCCCUUUGAAAAUGGCGCCGGGGCGACGUGGCCGCCGGAGCGCCGCUCCUCCGCCGCAUUUUUUACUCCCACGGGGAAACCCCACUUGGCGCCUGCUUUUUUGCUCUCUCUCUCUCUACAUCUACAAGAGCGAGCACCACCACCACCACCAGCCACCCCCGUUCCUCCGUCGCAUAUCCCGACCAAAUCCAGCGCAAAUCUAGCGCCACCUUCCCUCCCCCGCGGCCGGUCGUCUUCUUCUUCGCGUCGUCCUCGCCCCCCUCGCUUGGAUUGGAUUGGAUCGGAUCGUGCCUAUCUCGAUCCCUCCAUGGCAGAUGACCUUCUAGAUUGCCGCAGGAGCUAGCUUGCUGCCGCUCGUCGCAUCCGCGCAUAUGCCCACCCGCUCGGAUCGUGGUGGCCGUGGGCUCCCCGAUUCGCUUCUCCCACUGCCGCUCCUGUAGCCCCAGCCCAUCUGCUUGCUUUGAUUUUGGUGCUGUGCCGCUUAUCUAGGCCGCCUCUCUUCAUCUAGGGUUCAACGUCCGCGCCGGCUUCUCAGUUGCUGCAAGUGGAGGCAGCAAGCUAGAGGCAGCAACUGCAUAUCUUGCAAGAAAAUCGGUUCUUUGGCCAUACCGGUGAUUUUCUUGUAAGUUGUGCAGUUGUUGUCUCAAGCUUGCUGCCUCCCUUUGCCAGAACUAUUGGAUAUAAAACAGAGUCAAGUAAUGCCUCUUCCAGGUUUGCCAAAACAAGUAAUAUAAACAUUUUGCAUAUAGUCAUAGAAACAUGAUGGUUAAUCAGAUCACUAAUUUUGCCAAUUUCAUUAGAUAAGAAACUGUUUGAACUGAGGAGGUCAUCUAACAGUAAAAGAAGUAACAAGAGGCAAAGAAAGAAAUUCCUAGUAAAAAAAAUAAGGAAUGUAGUAGCUUCUUUCAGUCUGAAGACUGAGAUUUUAUUUUGAUUUUUCCAGCUAUCAACUCAACUGAAUGUGUUACUCCCUAAUCGAUUCUUUUCCUUUUGUGGGGUGUUACUCAUGUAUUGUAAAAAGCUUGUUUAACUAACCAAAAUUCUCCCAAUUCCCACCAAGCUAAAUUAACUAUGAAGCAUCUGUCCUGUAUACAAGGCGCAGAACAAGUCAGAUCUAUCAGAUGUUACCAAAGCAAAAGGUUCAUGUGAACUAAGAGUACGGAUCCUUUUAGAGGAUGUGGCAUUUAAGAUUUAACACAGAUUGACAGGGCGCUAUGUAUUCGAGAUGUCAUGGGAUGCUUCCCGUCGGAAGAGUUCUGACGAAAUGCGUACUGAUGUUCGCUCAACAAUUUGUAUUAUCUGUACAUUUCCACCGUUUAGGCAGCUUUGGAAUUGGACCAUAAUUAGCCGGGUGUAUCUGCAAGUUCUGUAUAUGCGUUAUUCUGAAGGAUGUUUAGUGGAUUGAAAAGUGCCCUUUGGAUUGUCUUGUUAGUGAAA